This 1513-nucleotide ribosomal RNA is filed under the name Enterococcus hirae. RNAcentral describes it as "16S ribosomal RNA". It matches the Rfam family "Bacterial small subunit ribosomal RNA". The record is from RNAcentral. Lineage: Bacteria; Bacillati; Bacillota; Bacilli; Lactobacillales; Enterococcaceae.
UUUGAUUAUGGCUCAGGACGAACGCUGGCGGCGUGCCUAAUACAUGCAAGUCGAACGUUCUUUUUCCACCGGAGCUUGCUCCACCGGAAAAAGAGGAGUGGCGAACGGGUGAGUAACACGUGGGUAACCUGCCCAUCAGAAGGGGAUAACACUUGGAAACAGGUGCUAAUACCGUAUAACAAUCGAAACCGCAUGGUUUUGAUUUGAAAGGCGCUUUCGGGUGUCGCUGAUGGAUGGACCCGCGGUGCAUUAGCUAGUUGGUGAGGUAACGGCUCACCAAGGCGACGAUGCAUAGCCGACCUGAGAGGGUGAUCGGCCACAUUGGGACUGAGACACGGCCCAAACUCCUACGGGAGGCAGCAGUAGGGAAUCUUCGGCAAUGGACGAAAGUCUGACCGAGCAACGCCGCGUGAGUGAAGAAGGUUUUCGGAUCGUAAAACUCUGUUGUUAGAGAAGAACAAGGAUGAGAGUAACUGUUCAUCCCUUGACGGUAUCUAACCAGAAAGCCACGGCUAACUACGUGCCAGCAGCCGCGGUAAUACGUAGGUGGCAAGCGUUGUCCGGAUUUAUUGGGCGUAAAGCGAGCGCAGGCGGUUUCUUAAGUCUGAUGUGAAAGCCCCCGGCUCAACCGGGGAGGGUCAUUGGAAACUGGGAGACUUGAGUGCAGAAGAGGAGAGUGGAAUUCCAUGUGUAGCGGUGAAAUGCGUAGAUAUAUGGAGGAACACCAGUGGCGAAGGCGGCUCUCUGGUCUGUAACUGACGCUGAGGCUCGAAAGCGUGGGGAGCAAACAGGAUUAGAUACCCUGGUAGUCCACGCCGUAAACGAUGAGUGCUAAGUGUUGGAGGGUUUCCGCCCUUCAGUGCUGCAGCUAACGCAUUAAGCACUCCGCCUGGGGAGUACGACCGCAAGGUUGAAACUCAAAGGAAUUGACGGGGGCCCGCACAAGCGGUGGAGCAUGUGGUUUAAUUCGAAGCAACGCGAAGAACCUUACCAGGUCUUGACAUCCUUUGACCACUCUAGAGAUAGAGCUUCCCCUUCGGGGGCAAAGUGACAGGUGGUGCAUGGUUGUCGUCAGCUCGUGUCGUGAGAUGUUGGGUUAAGUCCCGCAACGAGCGCAACCCUUAUUGUUAGUUGCCAUCAUUUAGUUGGGCACUCUAGCAAGACUGCCGGUGACAAACCGGAGGAAGGUGGGGAUGACGUCAAAUCAUCAUGCCCCUUAUGACCUGGGCUACACACGUGCUACAAUGGGAAGUACAACGAGUCGCAAAGUCGCGAGGCUAAGCUAAUCUCUUAAAGCUUCUCUCAGUUCGGAUUGUAGGCUGCAACUCGCCUACAUGAAGCCGGAAUCGCUAGUAAUCGCGGAUCAGCACGCCGCGGUGAAUACGUUCCCGGGCCUUGUACACACCGCCCGUCACACCACGAGAGUUUGUAACACCCGAAGUCGGUGAGGUAACCUUUUGGAGCCAGCCGCCUAANGUGGGAUAGAUGAUUGGGGUGAAGUCCUAACAAGGUA